UCUAUUUUCAUUAAAGCAAGGCGAAGGCCAGAGUCAAAGGAACCUAACAAGUAUAAGAUAGACGCAUAUCACAGAGGUAUCGAGGAGCCAGGUUGUGUAGAGAUUGAAAUAGUUGUCACGGAGUGACUUCAAUGGGGCGGAACUAAAGUGAGUAGGAAGAGGUUCCGCCCGGACCCGGUUGCACAAACACUGGCACUUCCGGGUUUCCCGGGGAUCCCCGCAAUCACCCAAAACAAGACACAGCUGUACCAUCGACGUGGCAAACAACGAUUGGGUGAGUCACGCUGGCAGAGGUGUAUGUAAAGGAGAGUUGGAAGAAGACAGGAAGUAUUUGGUUGCGUCGGAAUAACGUUGGGAAUAUCCGUGGGCUGAGUUGUUUACAUUAGGAGGCGGCAUUGGGCGAGUGUUGGAGAUCUGUAAAGGAGAAAACACUGUUAAAGUCAACCAAAGGGUGAGCAUUGGAGCUAAACUUACCCAGCACGACUCGGAAGCCCAGAGAAACCUGUAAAGCAAGAUACUCACCGUGUUACGAGCUAAAGUUAAACUUACCCAGCACAACUCGAAAGCCCAGAGAAACCUGUAAAGAAAGAUACUCACCGUGUUACAAGCUAAAGCUACACUUACCCAGUACGACCCGAAAAGUCCAGGGAAACCUGCAAAGGAACAUAACCAUUGUGCUACGAGUUAAAGCUAAACUACCCAGCACGAUUUGAAGGUUCAGGGAAACUUACAAAGGAAGAUACUUACCACAUUACAGUCCUAUCUAACCUACCUCUCACGACUUGUUGAAGUUCCAGCCGUGGUAGUACAGAGGGCAUUCCAUUGGCCACAAGUAAAGCCACUCUUACCCAGUUGUGAUUCCUUGGCCUGAGUGUCUGCUGAAGGAAAAGGAAGUUAGUGAAGAGACACAGAGUUGACUAAAACCGACGCAAUACUUACGUUGUGUUUACUUUACCCUCAGGAGGAACCCAGGAGCCCCGAGAAGUCUCUCCCUGCAGGAGGUGGGCCGAGGUCGAAGGAGCUCCACCCGGCCCUUGCCCUGCUAGCCUCCGAUCCACCGGAGCCAGGCUUCUCUCCCCUCCAACGCCCCUUGCCCCGUAGUUCCCCCCUGAGGGAGAGAGAGAAGAAAGUUUUUAGAUUCCCUUCCCAUUUCCCUGUUCUAAUUUUAAUUAAAUUAAAUAAAGUUUCAAAGCUUUAAAAGACCGUGUGAUAAAGCAGUCUUCAAUUAAUACAGUGUCUGAAUUGCAAGAAGAAGUGCCCCUCCACUUAAACAUGUGACAUCUAAACUGUUUUGUGUUUUAGUUCAGCUUUUUAUAGGUUUAUCUUAAGUUGGUUAAAGGCAGAGUGCACUUUUUUUGAAAAACAAUUUUAAAAAAUUAAAAGCCUUAUAAUGAAGGCAACACAUGCUGUAAGUGUCUAUAUUAGCAUUAUUAGCCUUUCAAAAUGAUAAGUAGGCUACAAAUACAUAAUGAGCAUUUAUGAUUAAAUGUUUAUUUUUCCUUCAGCGCAUCCUGAAGAGAAUGACGCACCCACGUGACUACUCGGCUGUACGAUGCUUUAAGUUUAACUUCCAUUAUAAUUUUAAUGUAUUAUGUUUUGUUGAAUUGAUGAAAUUAUAGAAAUACAAUAAAGAAAUCAGAUUUUUUAUGUCAUUUUUAUUUUAGGAUUUGAAAAAAACUACACAAUGUGCAACAUGCACUGUAAUUUCGGACCUCCCCAUGGAAAGAAAAUGCAGUCCUCUUCAAUUCUAAAUAAUACAAAACCUGCUCGCUCUUCUCUUUCCCCCUUAUCUGGGCAACAGACAGAGUGCAAUAAAACAGCAGCCUUUUGAAACGAGCUGGAAAAGUAUUUUAAACAUGCAUAAAACAUGCAUUUAAACCGUAUAAAGCAAGCGACGAUAAAACACAAAAACAUAAAAGCAGCCCAGUC
This is a non-coding RNA of Paramisgurnus dabryanus, 1929 nucleotides long. NCBI's taxonomy places the organism in Eukaryota, Metazoa, Chordata, Actinopteri, Cypriniformes, Cobitidae. The record is from RefSeq and is a predicted model, not a curated record.